UCGCCAGGAGCAAGAGGGAAAGGGGUGUAACCCUAGUUCAUCAAGAUUUAACAAAUUGAAGGGUGAAUUAGAGGCAAAUCGUAUGCAUGAACACAUAAAAAUGAUCACUUAGUCAUGGGGAUCACAAGAUAUUGACAAUAGUUUGACGCUUAACGAGCUAGGUGGAGGCUUGGGAAAGAAGCGGUCAAAUGAAUCAAAUGCGAGAAGAAAAGCGUAAACCAACGAGAGGUGAGUAUAGCAAGCAUCCGGAUGACGAUCAAGCAAUCUAGUGAACCGAACACAUCUCAAAUGAAGCUUCCGCAAUGACUUUACUUUGUUUUUGUUUUAAGUGAACUAUGUAAACACUUGGAACUAUAUUUGUUUACUUUAAACACGUAUGAACUUUGACUUGACAAAGUUUUUAGAAAGUCACAUUUUUCGU
This is a long non-coding RNA of Helianthus annuus (common sunflower), 421 nucleotides long. RefSeq lists it as uncharacterized. Lineage: Eukaryota; Viridiplantae; Streptophyta; Magnoliopsida; Asterales; Asteraceae. The record is from RefSeq and is a predicted model, not a curated record. The transcript has 3 exons.